GCUACGCAGGAGAAGCUCGGUGUUCCGCCCGCGUGGUGGAGCCCCUGAGGGAAUCCGGUGAAAUGCCGGAGCCGCCCCCGCGACUGUAUGCGGCGAGCGCGCGUCCGAAAAAGCCACUUGGAUGUCGGUCCGGGGAAGGCGAACGUCGCGCAACGACCCGCAAGCCAGGAGACCUGCCGGGCAUGAUGGAAACCA
RNAcentral lists this non-coding RNA (195 nucleotides) under Palleronia marisminoris. Lineage: Bacteria; Pseudomonadati; Pseudomonadota; Alphaproteobacteria; Rhodobacterales; Roseobacteraceae. The record is from RNAcentral.